Molecule: transfer RNA, 57 nt
Filed under: Tetragonula pagdeni
Lineage: Eukaryota; Metazoa; Arthropoda; Insecta; Hymenoptera; Apidae
Description: tRNA-Ser
Source: RNAcentral
GAAAUAAUUAAAAAAGGCUUCUAACCUUUAAAAUAGAUUAGAAUAAUCUUUAUUUCU